Long non-coding RNA from Syzygium oleosum, 2113 nucleotides. RefSeq lists it as uncharacterized. The transcript is spliced from 2 exons. The record is from RefSeq and is a predicted model, not a curated record. Lineage: Eukaryota; Viridiplantae; Streptophyta; Magnoliopsida; Myrtales; Myrtaceae.
GGAAGGAUAACCACUCUUUGUAGCCUUCUGUCGUCCUCUUUUAUUGGAUUUUUUUCCUUUUGUCAAAUCAAGUCAAAAGCCUACGUGGAGAAUGCUGCAAAAUGUUUAUUCGAAGUAGGGGACUGACUGUCUAUUCAAUGAUUUGUUGGUGCUGGGUUCCUGAGUUUCCCAAUCUGUUAGCAAUGUUCCUGUUGUCACGUUUCUCAAUCCGUCGGCAAUAUUGAUAGAUCUUAGUUUUUAAUAAGAUCUAUGAGUAGGGAGUUAGGCAGGGAUUUCAUUGAUUGACAAAGUUGAUGACUAGACCAUCUAUAUGUCAGGGAGAUUCAUGCAUCCAUUCUUGUCGAGAUUGUUUCUUGCUUUCUCAUACUUUUGCAGCUAGUUCCAGGUAUCCCUAAGUCCACAUGCUAUCUUUACUUUUGUAUACAUGGGUUACUCUAGGUGCUUAUGAGUUAUGGAUGGAUGUUGGUUCUAAGGGAGAGUCGGUAAUACGCGUGUUAGAACUGAAAACGAGAUGCAAAAAUGCUGUGCUGAGCAAAGAAAAAAGAGAGAGAGGGAAAAAUAGCCUCAGCCAUUUUAGGGGGUUUUUAUAUAUAUGUAUAAAGUCCUUGAAACCUAUGCCAACUCUAUUGUGUUUUCCAGGUUCAGUAGUGAUGCUAUCUAAUUCCUGUUGGAAACCUUUUUGAGUUGAAUAAGGAAUGAGUUUUGCUCCUCCUGCGCUUUUUAAAAUUUGCGCUUCUCAUAUAUUUGGGUAGGGACCAUAUGUAGGUGCUUAUUGCACAUGUUAUGUCCUUCUCUGUUGGUCUUUCAUUGCUAGGGACAUUAAAGUUUACUUAGAUGUAGUAGCUGAUGUAGUCAGAGAAGCAAAAUAUAGCAAAAGGAACAAAAACAGGGCUAAAAUACCUAUUUAUACACCCUUGAUCUAACAUAACUACUUCUAAUCUAUACCAUUGGAGCUUAUUAAAAGCCACAUGACUGGGACAUGAGUGUUUUUUAACCUAAUAACAUAUUUAAAGACUCAAUAAAGAACAAAACACUUAAAAAUACAAAUAAACGUGUCUCUGGAUCAACCUUCUUCAUCUCCUCUGCCAAAAUCCAAGGAAGGUACCAGAUUUACCGAACCAUUUCAUUGGGAACUUUCCAUCCAUAGUACCAUUCCUAGUAAGUAUUAUUCUUUGAUUGGAGAAAACUCGGCCUUGAUGUAGCGGAUUCCUUCCAAUCAUCACUAAUAUUCGAAUCCCAUCAUCAAAGCAAUCGAAGUUUUCUUGCUUCCCGAAAGCUUGCCAAUUGAUACUUUCACUCAAACCCUCAAAUUGAUCAGGAAUGACAAAAUUUAUCAUCAACAUGAACAAUACUCUCUCUUCUUCUUUAAAUUAGCCAGCAUUUCCUUCACAUGCUUGCUCAUCUUCUUCUUUAAUACCUAUUGCAUAUUGAUAAGUAACUGAAUCAAAACCUUCAGAAAGACUUUUCCCCGGCUCACUUGAACCAUCAGUACUUUUGACAAUUCCAUCUUCUGCCAGUAAAUUUACUGCAAACGCUUUGUCUUGAUCACCAUAGUCAAUCCCGUACAAUUGUUGCAUGACUUAUGUCAUCAUCUCAUGUAACUGUUGUUGUUUCAUUGUCAAAAUCUUCACGGAAAGGAUAGAUCUCUUCAUCAUGAUCUAAGGCAUGAUGCAGUAGCUCUUCCAAUCCACGUUUCUCUGGUCUGGCAUCAUGAAAGGGAUUUUCAUCAAAUAUUAUUAUUAUCAUCCUUGAAACCACCUUCCGGCAUGUCCAGGAUCGCAGUGACCUUCUGGAUUCUUCAUAUGGGCUUUCACAGUUUCCUGUCACUGCAAAGUUUGAACAGCCUGCAACAAGUCUUCAAUCAUACAUCGCAUCUCAGCCAUCUCUAUUUGUUGAGCUUGAUUGCCUCUUCCAUGACCUCUUCCCCGUCCGACCAUCAUGUCGAAACGAAAACCGUAAUUGCAAGUUGGAAUCGUUGUAGCUCUAAUACCAAUUAAUAAAGGAAAACCGUAACAAGGGGAUCUAAUACCAAUUUGAUGAGGUCGGAGAAUUGAAAGAUAGCAAAAAGAAUUAAAACAACUUGAAGAUGGAACAGAGAAUGGUUAUUCUAGGA